RNAcentral lists this ribosomal RNA (440 nucleotides) under uncultured bacterium. RNAcentral's name for it is "partial 16S ribosomal RNA". It matches the Rfam family "Bacterial small subunit ribosomal RNA", at positions 338 to 795 of the family's 1533-position model. The record is from RNAcentral.
CCUACGGGUGGCAGCAGUGGGGGAUAUUGCACAAUGGGGGAAACCCUGAUGCAGCGACGCCGCGUGAGUGAAGAAGUAUUUCGGUAUGUAAAGCUCUAUCAGCCGGGAAGAAAAUGACAGUACCUGACCAAGAAGCCCCGGCUAACUACGGGCCAGCAUCCGCGGUAAUCCGUAGGGGGCAAGCGUUAACCGGAUUGACUGGGGGUAAAGGGAGCGUUGACGGGUAUGUAAGUCUGGAGGGAAAGCCCGGGGCCCAACCCCGGGACUGCUUUGGAAACUGGGUAACUGGAGUACAGGAGGGGCAGGCGGAAUGCCUGGUGUAGCGGUGAAAUGCGUAGAUAUCAGGAGGAACACCGGCGGCGAAGGCGGCCUGCUGGACUGAAACUGACGUUGAGGCUCGAAAGCGUGGGGAGCGAACAGGAUUAGAUACCCGGGUAGUC